Molecule: long non-coding RNA, 873 nt
Organism: Aegilops tauschii subsp. strangulata
Lineage: Eukaryota; Viridiplantae; Streptophyta; Magnoliopsida; Poales; Poaceae
Source: RefSeq, a predicted model, not a curated record
GUUGGGAGGCGCCUGAUGAUGUAGAAGGCAAGUGAACAGAGGCACUUGGUGGGACAGAAGUUGGGCUCAGGUGAUGCGGCGGUCGGAGAGAUGCUGUGGAGGAGUUGGCCGGCGACCCCUUUCCUUCUAGCUUCAACGAGUCUGCUGUUGUGAUGGCCGAAGGAAGAGCAAGGAGGGGGAGGAGGGAUGGCAGAGGAGGUUAACAUCUAUAGCUUUUAUUAUGAAGCUAAGCUUCUAGACACACAUCUGAUCUGGUAGUUAUUUGUAUGGGUUGACAAGACAUUCAACAUGAAGCUAUUAGAAUACACCCCGUUUGAUUGGUAUGACAUAUUUUCUUCUGUCUUGAACUCGUCGUGCUCCUGGUAACAUGGGAUUUCCUUGCUACUAAUGUAUCGUAUUGCAUAUGUCUGUUUUCAGUGUAAAUGUGUUCUUUGAUCAACCAAACCUUGGUGAAUGUACAAUCAGGGGGAGCCUUGAUGCCUUCUCAUGUAAGAGUAAGAUCCACAAAAUUUUGAUAACUUGAGUCCAUUACAUCAUGACAAUAGGGUCAAGCUCCACUUUAAUUUGCAGGCAAAGCAUGCAGGAAAUGAUUGUUGGCUUUCAAUAAGCUUUGAAUAUGAGGUACAUACUUUCCAUCAGCCUAUGAUUUACGACAACUGCUUUUCUUUUAGCGCUGAUGUUGAUAAGUAGGCAUUGACGUGUUAGUUAUAUAUAGUUCGUAUUGCCAAAUAUGUAGUUCAUGACUUGUUCUCAUUGACGUGAUAUUUCGAGUUCUAGUUGACAUAUCUUGGAUACAGUUAUACGAAACGAGGAAUUAUAGGGUGCGUCGCAAAACAAAUGUUUAAUAUAUCCAAAACAACAAAACAACAAAAA